Molecule: unclassified non-coding RNA, 345 nt
Filed under: soil metagenome
Description: partial contains 5.8S ribosomal RNA, internal transcribed spacer 2, and large subunit ribosomal RNA
Rfam family: 5.8S ribosomal RNA (bases 1-119)
Source: RNAcentral
GAUGAAGAACGCAGCGAAAUGCGAUACGUAAUGUGAAUUGCAAAUUCAGUGAAUCAUCGAGUCUUUGAACGCACAUUGCGCCCCCUGGUAUUCCGGGGGGCAUGCCUGUCCGAGCGUCAUUGCUGCCCUCAAGCACGGCUUGUGUGUUGGGCCCCGUCCUCCGAUCCCGGGGGACGGGCCCGAAAGGCAGCGGCGGCACCGCGUCCGGUCCUCGAGCGUAUGGGGCUUUGUCACCCGCUCUGUAGGCCCGGCCGGCGCUUGCCGAUCAACCCAAACUUUUAUCCAGGUUGACCUCGGAUCAGGUAGGGAUACCCGCUGAACUUAAGCAUAUCAAUAAGCGGAGGA